Molecule: ribosomal RNA, 1349 nt
Filed under: metagenome
Description: bacterial LSU rRNA
Rfam family: Bacterial large subunit ribosomal RNA
Source: RNAcentral
UGAGUGCGAGCGGCUACGGCCGCGAAGUGGGUGAUGUCAAGCUUCCAAGAAAAGCCCUAUACCCGUUAAGGCAUGAUGGCUGUACCCGAAACCGACACAGGUGGGGUGGUAGAGAAUACCGAGGGGCGCGAGGUAACUCUCUCUAAGGAACUCGGCAAAAUGGCCCCGUAACUUCGGGAGAAGGGGUGCCACCGCAAGGUGGUCGCAGUGAAGAGGCCCAGGCGACUGUUUACCAAAAACACAGGUCUCCGCUAAGUCGCAAGACGAUGUAUGGGGGCUGACGCCUGCCCAGUGCCGGAAGGUUAAGGAAGCUGGUCAGCGCAAGCGAAGCUGGCGACUGAAGCCCCGGUGAACGGCGGCCGUAACAAUAACGGUCCUAAGGUAGCGAAAUUCCUAGUCGGGUAAGUUCCGACCCGCACGAAAGGCGUAACGAUCUGGGCGCUGUCUCGGAGAGAGGCUCGGCGAAAUAGAAUUGUCUGUGAAGAUGCGGACUACGUGCACCCGGACAGAAAGACCCUAUGAAGCUUUACUGUAGCUUGGUAUUGUGCCCGGGCUCUGAAUGCGCAGGAUAGGUGGGAGGCUUUGAUCCAUGGCUUGCGGGUCAUGGUGAGCCAACGGUGAGAUACCACUCUUUCAGAGCUAGGGUUCUAACGGUCACCCGUCAUCCGGGGACCGGACAGUAUCAGGUGGGCAGUUUGACUGGGGCGGUCGCCUCCUAAAAGGUAACGGAGGCGCGCAAAGGUUUGCUCAGGCUGGUUGGAAAUCAGCCGACGAGUGCAAAAGCAGAAGCAAGCUUGACUGUGAGACCUACAAGUCGAACAGGGACGAAAGUCGGCUUUAGUGAUCCGACGGUUCUGAGUGGAAGGGCCGUCGCUCAACGGAUAAAAGUUACUCUAAGGAUAACAGGCUGAUCUCCCCCAAGAGUUCACAUCGACGGGGAGGUUUGGCACCUCGAUGUCGGCUCAUCGCAACCUGGGGCUGAAGUCGGUCCCAAGGGUUGGGCUGUUCGCCCAUUAAAGCGGUACGCGAGCUGGGUUCAGAACGUCGUGAGACAGUUCGGUCCAUAUCCGGUGCACGCGCAGGAACAUUGAGAGGAUUUCUCCCUAGUACGAGAGGACCGGGAGGAACGCACCUCUGGUGUGCCAGUUAUCGUGCCAACGGUAAACGCUGGGUAGCCAUGUGCGGAGUGGAUAACCGCUGAAAGCAUCUAAGUGGGAAGCCCACCUCAAGAUGAGUGUUCCCAUGGCAUAAGCCAGUAAGGUCACGGGAAGAACACCCGUUGAUAGGCUCUACGUGGAAGCCGGGUAACCGGUGAAGCGGAGGAGUACUAAUAGACCGAGGGCUUGACC